CAGUAAUUUAUCCUGCCAGCAUUUAAUUUGAUGGGAUACUGUACAGCAAGAAUUGUUCUUCCCCAGUGAUAUGUGUUCCCUGGCCAGAUGAGAUGUCCUGUCAGAUCUUAAAAAGGGGAGACCAUUCCCAUCUUCAGGUCAUACACUAACAGUGCUGGAAUGUACUGCCAUGUCCUUGCCAGCAGCCUCUACACACCCGACCCCAUGGGCAAAAGGACUGGAAGGCCAGGCACAGGCCAGGUUUUCUUUGCCCAUUUUUCUACAAACCAGGCAGCUUUCCUGGGAUUUUUUCCCUUUAGCCCAGGGCUUGUGUCUCUGCUCCACAACAAGAUGUUCUGCAGCUUCCUGGGCCAGGAUGAGAAACAGUGCUGUACUGGGUUGAAAGGAUUUAAAUCCUUUUUAAAACCCUUUCUUGUAUAAUAAUUCAGAAAAAAAAAACAUUUAAAGGCCACAAUGUGUUACAGUAAAACAUCUUCCUCUUAGGCUUAUAUGUACAGGUGGCCCACGCAGCCAAGCUCCCUUCCCAAAAGAAUACAGGUAAGAUUAAUGUAGCAUGGCCCAUGUCUGAAAGGACCAGUAACAGGGAAAAACAAACAACAACAACAACAAACCACAGAGACAACCAGAAAGGAUCCCCAAAAACAUGAUCAACACCCUUUUGUGUGUUGGGGGGGUGUUGAGAGC
Molecule: long non-coding RNA, 684 nt
Filed under: Marmota monax (woodchuck)
Lineage: Eukaryota; Metazoa; Chordata; Mammalia; Rodentia; Sciuridae
Source: RNAcentral